RNAcentral lists this long non-coding RNA (247 nucleotides) under Mytilus galloprovincialis (Mediterranean mussel). Lineage: Eukaryota; Metazoa; Mollusca; Bivalvia; Mytilida; Mytilidae. The record is from RNAcentral.
AUAGUAUGUCCUUAUUAUCUACAAAAUUUCAUGAAAUUCUGUUGUGUGUUUUCAGAGGAGUUGAGAUGACAAACUGUUGCAGAAGUACAUUGAAGCAAAUAAGUUCAAAGGGGCAGAACUCCUAGAAAAAAAAAUGAAUCGUAAUUUCCUGUUGAUAUGCACAUCUACGUAGUAUGUCCUUAUUUUCUUCAAAGUUUCAUGAAAUUCUGUUGUGUGGUUUCAGAGGAGUUGAGAUGACAAACUGUUG